This is a long non-coding RNA of Ruditapes philippinarum (Manila clam), 189 nucleotides long. RefSeq lists it as uncharacterized. The record is from RefSeq and is a predicted model, not a curated record. The transcript is spliced from 3 exons. NCBI's taxonomy places the organism in Eukaryota, Metazoa, Mollusca, Bivalvia, Venerida, Veneridae.
AAAAAAGAAUUGUAUAUAAGGAUGGUAAAAAAGUCGCUGUUGAGGAAACAAAAAGAGUGGAAUAUGAGCCACAAAAGAAUUCAGGAAAGAAACACAAACAAGUAAAAGAAGCAGAUGAAGGUAAAUUAUUUCAAUUUGCCUAUAUGGUCACAUUUAGCGUUCUAUGAAGUAUAUAUGUUUUAUUGAUGU